GACAAACGCUGGCGGCGUGCCUAACACAUGCAAGUCGAACGGGACUUAAGGGGCUUGCUCCUUAAGUUUAGUGGCGAACGGGUGAGUAACGCGUGAGGAACCUGCCUUCCAGUGGGGGACAACAGUUGGAAACGACUGCUAAUACCGCAUGACACAGUUGAACCGCAUGAUUUAACUGUCAAAGCUUUAUGUGCUGGAAGAUGGCCUCGCGUCUGAUUAGCUAGUUGGUGGGGUAACGGCUCACCAAGGCGACGAUCAGUAGCCGGUCUGAGAGGAUGAACGGCCACAUUGGGACUGAGAUACGGCCCAGACUCCUACGGGAGGCAGCAGUGGGGAAUAUUGCACAAUGGGGGGAAACCCUGAUGCAGCGACGCCGCGUGAGUGAAGAAGUAUUUCGGUAUGUAAAGCUCUAUCAGCAGGGAAGAAAAUGACGGUACCUGACUAAGAAGCCCCGGCUAACUACGUG
Molecule: ribosomal RNA, 466 nt
Filed under: uncultured bacterium
Lineage: Bacteria
Description: bacterial SSU rRNA
Rfam family: Bacterial small subunit ribosomal RNA
Source: RNAcentral